Molecule: transfer RNA, 74 nt
Filed under: Xenorhabdus mauleonii
Lineage: Bacteria; Pseudomonadati; Pseudomonadota; Gammaproteobacteria; Enterobacterales; Morganellaceae
Description: tRNA-Phe
Rfam family: tRNA
About the family: Transfer RNA (tRNA) molecules are approximately 80 nucleotides in length.
Source: RNAcentral
GCCCGGAUAGCUCAGUCGGUAGAGCAGGGGAUUGAAAAUCCCCGUGUCGGUGGUUCGAUUCCGCCUCCGGGCAC